This 292-nucleotide ribosomal RNA is filed under the name uncultured Acidobacteriota bacterium. RNAcentral's name for it is "uncultured Acidobacteria bacterium partial 16S ribosomal RNA". Lineage: Bacteria; Pseudomonadati; Acidobacteriota. The record is from RNAcentral.
GGACUACCAGGGUAUCUAAUCCUGUUUGCUACCCACGCUUUCGUGCCUCAGCGUCAGUCGUGGUCCAGAAAGCCGUCUACACCGCAGGUGUUCCUCCUGAUAUCUACGCAUUUCACCGCUACACCAGGAAUUCCGCUUUCCUCUCCCACACUCAAGCACUCCAGUCUUCGGCGCACCCUCCCAGUUAAGCCGGGAGAUUUCACACCAAACUUAAAGCACCGCCUACGCACUCUUUACGCCCAGUAAUUCCGAACAACGCUCGCUGCCUACGUAUUACCGCGGCUGCUGGCAC